This 115-nucleotide ribosomal RNA is filed under the name Candidatus Babelota bacterium. The record is from RNAcentral.
CCUGGUGGUGAUAGUGUUGAGGAAACACCCGUUUCCAUUCCGAACACGGCAGUUAAGCUCAUCACGCCGACGAUACUCUGCUGGAGACGGCACGGUAAAAUAGGUACUGCCAGGA